Molecule: ribosomal RNA, 443 nt
Filed under: uncultured bacterium
Lineage: Bacteria
Description: partial 16S ribosomal RNA
Rfam family: Bacterial small subunit ribosomal RNA
Source: RNAcentral
CCUACGGGCGGCUGCAGUGGGGAAUAUUGGGCAAUGGGCGCAAGCCUGACCCAGCAACGCCGCGUGAAGGAAGAAGGCUUUCGGGUUGUAAACUUCUUUUGUCAGGGACGAAGCAAGUGACGGUACCUGACGCAUAAGCCACGGCUAACUACGUGCCAGCAGCCGCGGGAAUACGUAGGGGGCAAGCGUUAUCCGGAUUUACUGGGUGUAACGGGCGUGUAGGCGGGACUGCAAGUCAGAUGUGAAAAACACGGGCUCAACCUGUGGCCUGCAUUUGAAACUGUAGUUCUUGAGUACUGGAGAGGCAGACGGAAUUCCUAGUGUAGCGGUGAAAUGCGUAGAUAUUAGGAGGAACACCAGUGGCGAAGGCGGUCUGCUGGACAGCAACUGACGCUGAGGCGCGAAAGCGUGGGGAGCAAACAGGAUUAGAUACCCGUGUAGUC